Molecule: small RNA, 2847 nt
Filed under: Arabidopsis thaliana (thale cress)
Lineage: Eukaryota; Viridiplantae; Streptophyta; Magnoliopsida; Brassicales; Brassicaceae
Description: ATSL207300
Source: RNAcentral
AAAAUAUUCAUCUUAUAAAUCAUCAGAUGUCAUGAUCGUUACAACUUCAAACGAAAAUACAAAUGAAAGAGAAAUAAGAACAACAACUCAAAAGAUCAAAAACUCAACAUCACUAUAACUGGAAACCAAGGAUAGGCAAACUCAUGCAGCAACCUUCUUCUCGAACCACUUCUUGAACCUUGCCUUCAACCUCGCCUCUGGCUCCCAAGUCUCCUCUGUCACACCAUCGCAGUUCCGCAGGACUUUGAUCAAAGGAAUCUUCUUCCGCCGAAGUUCCUUGAUCCUCCUCUCGAGAACCCUCACUGGUCUCGCCUCCAAAGUCAUGUUGGGCUGAAGAUCCUCUGGAAUCUUAGCCAACACCUCAUCAUCCUUGUGAAGACACUUCCUCAGCAUCGACACAUGAAAGACCUUGUGAAACGCACGCAUAACAUCUGACAACUCUAACCUGAAUGCCACUGGUCCCACCCUCUCAACAAUCCUGAAUGGACCCAUGUACCUCAGACUCAACUUAGUCUCUGAGAUAGACCUGUUCGGACCUCGCAACAUGGCCAUCUUGAGAUACACUGUCCCCAACCUCAAACUCAAGCUCUUUCCUCCUCUUGUCAGCAUAACUCCGUUGUCGGUUCUGAGCUUCCUUCAUGUUCAGCUUCAGAACCCGGAUCCUCUCCGUGAUCUCCUGAACAUAAUCUGCACCAUAUAUGCUCCUCUCCCCCACUUGGGUCCAGCAUAAUGUCCUGCAUGGCCUCCCGUACAACACCUCGAAAGGAGCCAUCCCAAUACUCGCCUGAUAGCUGUUGUUAUAAGCAAACUCUACCAAACUCAAGUGAUCCGCCCAAUGACCUCUCCAAUCCAAGACACACAUCCGCAACAUAUCCUCAAGCGUCUGAAUAGUCCUCUCAGAUUGCCCAUCUGUCUGAGGAUGAUAAGCCGUGCUCAUCUGCACCUUAGUGCCCAUCUCUGCCUGAAAGGCUCUCCAAAAAGCAGAAGUAAACUUGGAAUCCCUGUCUGACACAAUACUCACAGGUACUCCAUGCAACUUCACAAUCUCGCUCACAUAUUUCUUAGCCAACACCGCCGCUCCAUCGGUUUUUCUGAUGGCCAAAAAAUGUGCUGACUUAGUCAGACGGUCCACGAUCACCCAAAUAGCAUCUUUGGUCCGCGACACAGGCAACCCAACCACGAAAUCCAUCGUGAUAAAAUCCCACUUCCACUCAGGAAUGGGUAAACUCUGCAACAGGCUACCCGACACCUGAUGCUCAAUCUUAACUAACUGGCAAACAUCGCACUCUUCGACCCAAUUACCUACAUCCCUCUUCAUCCCGACCCACUGAUAGUACCGCUUGAGGUCUCGGUACAUCUUAGUCGCUCCUGGAUGAAUGGAAAACAUGCUCGCAUGAGCCUCACUCAAGAUCUCCUGUCGCAACUCCUUAUCCUUAGGCACACAAACUCGCCCAUGCACAAGGAUAGUUCCAUUAGCUGCGAACUGAUACUCAAAGCCCUCUGCCUUAGAAGCCGCAAUCAACCCCUCAUCCUUCUCUUGAGCUAACUGAACUCUACUCAGAAGAUCUGUUUGAUCCACAGCUUCCAAUCCCAAUGGCUCCCGUGCCACAGCACACAACCGCAAAGCACCAAUCUCAAUCACCAAGGUCUCAACACUCUGCCCUGGAGCCGCACCCACGCGCUUACGACUCAAAGCGUCUGUAACCACAUUAGCCUUACCAGGAUGGUAGGCUAUCUCCAGAUCAUAAUCAGCCACCAGCUUCAUCCAUCGCCUCAGCCUCAGGUUCAGCUCUAGCUGAGUGAAGAUAUACUUCAAACUCUUAUGAUCUGUGAACACCUACACAUUCCCGCCAUAAAGAUAAGACCUCCAAAUAUUCGAGGCAAAGAUCACUGCAGCCAUCUCCAAAUCGUGAGUGGGAUAGUUGCCCUCAUGUUUCUUCAACUGCCGCGAUCCAUAGGCAAUAACCUUCCCACGCUGCAUCAGAACACAACCCAAACCAACUCUCGAGUCAUUAAACCCAGAAGAGACUCUCCUUAACAAAAUUAUUCUAACAACGAUUAAAGCCAGGAGAGACUCUCCUUGCGUCUGAAACAGUCCAGAAACGUCCUACAACAUGUCACAACCAAAAGUAACCUUUGAAGCAAACUGUACAUAAAAAACAAAAACAAACAGUCUCAAAGAUGAAACCCUAAAAUACACACUAACUGUUAAUUAUUAAAUCCCUCCGAUGAAACGCUAGCCUUAGACGUCGCAAAGCUUCCCACAAAAAUUCGUGCCGAUCGGAAGCCAGAUGAGACUACGAUCGCAGUUACAAUCCCCGCUGGUCCUAAUUCGCGUCUGAGAAAACGUGUCUCACAAAACUGCGAAUAACUCAACCAAUUGUAAUCCAAAAUCACUUCUGUAAACUGGAGAGUAACAAUAAAAGACUUGGAAAUAACCCUACCAAAUUUCGUUACCUUUGACAGUGAUUUUAUAUGUCGAAAACGUUUCCUCCCAAACCCUAACGAUUCUGGUUCUUCUCCUUCUCUGACUUUUUCUCCUUUAUAAAACGAAAAGUGGAUAACUAAAGCCCUAAUUUCGAGUUUAUUUCUUUUAUAGGCACACUAUAGAGUUUUCAAUUAACCCAACCGAUUAAACCGGAUGAUUUAAAUACAAACCCUAACCAAUUUUCCGGUUCACGGGCGUUAUAGAAUGAAUGAAAACAUGUUUUGCACACAAAAAAAAAAGAGUUCUUAUAAUUUAAAAACAAAAAUAAUCAUAACAUGUUUAUAAAAUAUAAAAUCAGAUUAUGUUUAAUAAAUAUAAAAUCCUUUAUACCAAACAAUAAUAAUAAAGUGAUUAAAUUU